GAUGAACGCUGGCGGCGUGCUUAACACAUGCAAGUCGAGCGAAGCACUUAAGUUCGAUUCUUCGGAUGAAGACUUUCGUGACUGAGCGGCGGACGGGUGAGUAACGCGUGGGUAACCUGCCUCAUACAGGGGGAUAACAGUUAGAAAUGGCUACUAAUACCGCAUAAGACCACGGUACUGCAUGGUACAGUGGUAAAAACUCCGGUGGUAUGAGAUGGACCCGCGUCUGAUUAGGUAGUUGGUGAGGUAACGGCUCACCAAGCCGACGAUCAGUAGCCGACCUGAGAGGGUGACCGGCCACAUUGGGACUGAGACACGGCCCAGACUCCUACGGGAGGCAGCAGUGGGGAAUAUUGCACAAUGGGCGAAAGCCUGAUGCAGCGACGCCGCGUGAAGGAUGAAGUAUUUCGGUAUGUAAACUUCUAUCAGCAGGGAAGAAAAUGACGGUACCUGACUAAGAAGCCCCGGCUAACUACGUGCCAGCAGCCGCGGUAA
This 495-nucleotide ribosomal RNA is filed under the name uncultured bacterium. RNAcentral's name for it is "partial 16S ribosomal RNA". It matches the Rfam family "Bacterial small subunit ribosomal RNA", at positions 28 to 523 of the family's 1533-position model. The record is from RNAcentral.